GGGAGCUUAGCUCAGCUGGUUCAGAGCAUCUGCCUUACAAGCAGAGGGCCACUGGUUCGAAUCCAGUAGUUCCCACCA
RNAcentral lists this transfer RNA (78 nucleotides) under Cytophagaceae bacterium. RNAcentral describes it as "tRNA-Val". It matches the Rfam family "tRNA". From Rfam's summary of the family: Transfer RNA (tRNA) molecules are approximately 80 nucleotides in length. Their secondary structure includes four short double-helical elements and three loops (D, anti-codon, and T loops). The record is from RNAcentral. Lineage: Bacteria; Pseudomonadati; Bacteroidota; Cytophagia; Cytophagales; Cytophagaceae. RNAcentral also lists the same sequence under 1 other name.